This 1005-nucleotide long non-coding RNA is filed under the name Macaca fascicularis (crab-eating macaque). Its description in RNAcentral is "lncRNA (ENSMFAG00000055311.1)". Lineage: Eukaryota; Metazoa; Chordata; Mammalia; Primates; Cercopithecidae. The record is from RNAcentral.
UCUCUCCAGUUUUUCUAAAGUCACUUUUUUUAAACAUACAUCUAUGUCAUUUCUUUCCAACUCUUAAAAGUUGACAGAAAUACAUUUGCAAAUGUAAAAAGCAAAUAACCCUUAGCUAAGAAGCUUUCCUCUUUCUUUUCCUUUUGUAAAAAUAUAAUUCUCUCUGUGCAUAUAUUUAUAUAAAACAUCCUUGGAGAAAAAUGAGAAAAAGCUCCUUUAAUAAUAUCAGAGUUUUCUAGCAGUUAAGUGUCUCACAAACUUAUUUAUUUUACACAGACCUUAUCUCCAGAUAGUUAGGCACUUCUGGAAGUAAUUUACAUGCUUUUGUGGAAAGGCUUAUUUAACCCUUUAUUCACAUGAUUAUCUUGGCUCAACUAAGGAAAAUGUUUGAUGAGUGACAGGUUUUGUGUUUCUGUAGCACAGACAGAUCUCUGGCUCCUCUGCUUCCUUUCAUGGUUGGUUUGUAUUGUUUUGCUUUUUUUACUUGUGGCCAGCAUUUUAACUAUCUGAAGAAAUUAAUCCUUAUCUCUUUCCACGAAGCACCAGAUGACUGUUAGCAAGCCACAUACAUUUAAUGUGUCUCAGAUCUUUACCCCAUCAAAUAGGGAAGUAUAUUAGCUACCUAAAUAAUAUUGGGGAAGUAUGUUGAAAGAGUGUUUUCAUGAUCUUCUUAAGCCAAACAGAUGGGAAGGGACAUUGAAACAUGACACUCCAUGUGCUUUUAAUUGAAGGUUCAUAUAAUUGAUUCAGUCAAUAUUUUGAGAGAUUAUUUGGUGCUAUGGCAGAUAAGGAGAUGAAUGAGAUAUGUACUUUUUCUUCAAGGAGCUUACAAAAAUCUAAGAGUUUACAUUUUAGUUUUAUGUAUCACAGUAAGUUAUGAAACACAAACAGAAGUCAGAUAAUUGUGUAAAAUGACCGGCAAGCAAAAUCUCUGUAGAAGCAUUCUGUCAGUUAUUGAGGCUAAGAAGAAGGAACUUGUGGUAGAUCGAUUGCCAAAAUGUCCCC